This is a long non-coding RNA of Calidris pugnax (ruff), 517 nucleotides long. RefSeq lists it as uncharacterized. The record is from RefSeq and is a predicted model, not a curated record. The transcript is spliced from 5 exons. NCBI's taxonomy places the organism in Eukaryota, Metazoa, Chordata, Aves, Charadriiformes, Scolopacidae.
AUUGCUGAAGAUGGAAGGAGAUCUGGAGCUGGUCGUGGCUACUGAAGAGGGCAGAGACCUGAUGCAUCAUUUUAGGAGGAGUAGAGGAUCACCUUUUGCCAGUCCUCCAGUGGAGAGUGGUCCCAACGUUGUACCAGGAGACGGCAGUGGCGUGGAGAAGCAGAGGUGGUUGCGACGACCAAAACUGCAUCCACUCUCCAGCCACCAGAAGACAUCUACCAGUGGGACUGCAGAUGUGAAGCUAAGAGCAAAGCUUUUCCCACACAUGCCCUCCCCUGAAAAAGAACAACUCCUCCUUCCUAACUCCAGAGCCGCUGCUUGAAUAUCCCUUUAUCUGGUGAAACUGAGUCUCAAGGAAAGGUCGUCUUGGAGUUUCUGAAGCAAUCUGAUUCACUGAAGCAAAAACAAGCUCUCGGUUAUAACAGAGGAUGUUCCUUUCCCAUGGAAGGAGAGAGAUUCACAAAGCACUGCACACCACAAGGCUUCCUGUAUCCUGGAGGUUUAAAAUAUGCAGGAG